AGUAACCUGUUAGCCACAAUUAGUGCUCGCAGCCACAAUUAGGCAGGCAGAUGCGCGAUGCGUCGGCUCGUACGGUCCCUAACUGCCACGUAAACCAACCUCGCCAUCGCACUAAGGAGCGUCGCCAUUCGCUACCAUCUCAGACCACUAAGGUGAUACAUAUGAGAACACAACGUCUUUGCGGUUUUACCACCACCUUCGUAGCGGCAGAUGGCGAACUGCACUAGAGUUCCUCUAAGUACAAGAGUGAGCUCGAACGUGCUCAGGAGAUGCUCACCAUUUCUGGGCGAGCCACCGGGUUGAUCACAACUAUGGCGGCGGAAAUAAAUGGACUAAAGAGAAAUAUGAAGAAAUUAAAAUUGAAAAAAGUUCUGCCCAUAUGGCUUUGAUCUCCCCAGCCGUUCUGUCUGUGCCCACGCCCAUUGGCUCCUCAUCUUAUUCAUCUGAAUAGCGUUCGCAUAGUCGUUGACUGGGGCAGUGGAAGAAAGCUACACCAGCGACAGCAUUUGUAUGGACCGUAACUUUCACAACAUAACGGCUCUUUCUGUGGCUGCUGAUGACCGUCGUCGGUUAAAAACUGAGUAGUGUCUUUUCAAACGGAGUUUUGCACACCAUAACCAUUUGCAGGACACACGACUUGGAGCCAUGCGCCUGCGCGAUUAGCGUGUCCUAUCAUCUGAGUAGUAACUUGACAGUCGCAUGCUCCGCACCUGCGCGAAAACAAAACUUCAACGAUGCGCGCAACUGGCAAAGUCACCAUCAAGACGGUCCAUUUUUUGAGAGAGACGGUAGUUAGGCGACCAAAUGUUAACUAAGUCGAACGAUAAAAAACGCUAGCCCUAGUAUCAGAGGACACAGCAUCGGUCGUCGUUUACGUUGCUGUUUGUGUGCUUUGUCUUCCCACCACUUGCAGCUUAUCGCAUUCUGCAGCAUCCAGAAGUGGGUUGAAUGCGGCCUCGAAGUACUGUUCGUAAUUCAUAGAACUCUGUUGCAGAAAGCGUUACACGCGUGAAGUCUAAGCGGCCGUGGCUAACGUUAGCAGUGAGUUACAAGGCCUACAUAUGGUACAUACGGCAUGAUGAGGGAAGAUCAUGGUUCUCCGCGCGUUUCGCGUUGUCGAGACGUAUAGGGAAGUACUGUCCGCUGUUGCUGUUGCUCAAUAUUUCAAAUGAGCUCUCGUUUUUCUCUCGACUUGCCCUCAACACUGGACGCGGUUGCAGUGCAAUUGCUUCAUCGCUUUGCCCUGUACGUUAGUGCCCAGUAAUUGUAUAAAGGUGCUAUAAUUCGUAUCCUUCUAUGAUUUUCCCAUGCUGUACUGCCUGUUUCAGAAUAUCUUGUUUGCCUAACAUUAUCGGCAAAAUACCUGCGGAACGUUAAGACCUCAAGCAGACUACGAUGCAUGACUCUAUGCUUCCGAAGAACGUGAAACUGACGAUGAUGACGACGAAGCAGCCUCGUCUCAUUUAAUGUCGGCGACACCGACGUAAAACUCGAAACAUACAGGCAGAUCCAUAGAGCAAAUCCACUGGGUGUUUCUGCAAGCCGUAGUAAAGUACUGUACUCUGAAGUACUCUUUAUAUCAGUCCCGAACCGAGGACUAGGCAUACGGGGCCUACACUGUAGUGACUGAUAGUGCCACCGUUGUAGACGAGUACAAUUGCAAUGAAAUCUAAUCCGCAUAAUAUUUCCUUAACUUCACCUGAGCAAAAUACUGAAUGUGAUCAAAGAACUUCGAUCGUCCAAUAUAUCUAAAGAAAUUAUAUACUAAUAUAUAUAUAUGAUAUACUAUACAUCUGUACAGUUGUUAUAUAUGUUACAACCAUGUACGAUGGCGAUAUGAAACAGCAAUAGUUCUUGCAGCUAACGUUUGCAAAAAGAGCAUGCGUCUUUUGUACUAUAUUUACAGUUAAACGAUUGAUCAUGUCGAGUCACAAAGAGGUUAUAUAAGAUCAAGAUCGGCCGAUCAAUCAGUGACCGAUGAAACUUUCUGAUCACACUCCUCUGCCCAGGUAAGCAAAGCAGUUUCGCUAGUUUUGCCCCAGCGUUGGCGUGUUAUGUCUCCAGAUUUUUUGUUUUAGAAAGCGAUAUAGCAACCGCUAUACCAUCCGAUCGGGGAGAGGGAAAAAGAAUUAGCCCGUGAUUUUUCUGCUCAAUCUGGGCCCAGGCCGCUAUCUCUCUAACGGCAGGUAAGAGCCCCUUGUCGUCAAAACUCGGCCCUGUGGUAGCUCUUAGUUGAGUCAUCAGGCCUUGUCUACGAUACGCGUUUACGACAAGUCGCUAUUAGCUUUACUUCUAUUAUUAUCCCGUAGAGACAACGCUCGUUAGGUCAUCUAGCGGGUCCCUUUUAGAAUUUAGAGUUCGCUACGCGUUGCAAGCGGCAGACAGUAGGGCGGGCGGUAGGGGAGAUCUACGGGGUCCUUUAGAUCAACGCUUAUGUAACACAAACAUAUAGACACCUUUCAGAACUACCGUUGUUAUUUUAAACUUUUACUUGCACAUACCGACGCUUACGUUUAGUGUCGUUAUUUUUUGUUGAUUCGUCUGGUGUGAAAUUUAUGUGGACUAGUUUCAACCUUAAUGAAUGCUGGGUAAACAUUCUAGCGUUAGAAGAGUAACAGGUCGCAGCACUAAAAAUGUGAAUUUUUAUAGAAGAAACAUCGUUCCUGUUAUAUGCCAGAGUCAGUUUUGCGGACGCAAGUAGUGACCACAUUCAUUCAGGUAAUGCUUGCCGUUGAUGCCGUUACUGCAGGUUGCACUACGGGGCUCGUAGCCAUCGCGACGAUGAUUUGAUCUACACUGUCACAUAAUGAGUAGUGAACAGGUUAUCCGAAAAAGAUUGACCACUCGGUCCUUUGACACUCCAGCUGUCGUCGUUGUCGGCUGUCGCUGAUUAGGAUUAGCGCACUCGUUUCGAGUCUCGAAGGGAAGGGUCAAAACCAGAACAAGAAACACAAGCUACCAGAACGAUGGAUCACUAGCAACACCCAGUAUUUAACCUACUAUGUCGCCGUUAAUCAAACGGUGGUUACUGAAUGCCGCUCAGCGUAUUACGUCAGCAAACGUUUCCCCGCACAAGAAUGUCUGACCAACUCGAAUCGCGCCUCCUGUCACCGAAUAUUUAGCCGUAACGAUCGAGAAUUCGUCAUUAAAGGAAACGCGUUAGUUACACUAAAGUUAUAGCAUGAUAGUGUUUUACGUAACGGGCAGCAAAGAAAAACGCCAAAAUGCAGCCUAACAGGAAAGGAUUAGGAUUGUCAACUAGCUGAUAUGUCUUGGAUAAAACGCACAAACUAUGAAAUCUUAUAAACAUUUUCCAGCUUUCUUUGAAACCUCCGCAAAAUCAUUUUUAAAUGUGUCACUGGCAUGCAUAAAAGUUCUUAAUAGGUAAAAAGUGUUAAGCAUUAUAAGUAUAUUCCGGUAUAUCUGGGAAGUCGGGAUGCAGCUUUGACAGUCUAUCAAAUGCAAUUAAAGAAGUACAAUAAAAAGAAUUAAAUUGAGUCAAGCCUUCCUGAUUUUAUUACAGUUAAUCAACGUAUUCAGAAAUUAGCGAAACAAAGCUCCUAUUUGGGUAGCUUUUUUAUUCUAUUUACACUUGAUGUCAAGGAUGGUUUUCUGCGGUAUUAUUUAAAAUAUGGAUAUAAAUGGCAUGCGAGUAUUGCGAGAAACUAUAUGUCCUUCGUAACAGUACAUAUACAAAACAACUUUAGAGCAGCAAUCCGCAAUCGACAAAACUAGAAAAGAGCGGUGGGAACACAGUGACAUGCUAACCUCGCUACUAAAUUGUGUAGACUAGUAGAAUUAAGCCAAAAUAUUAUUUUCACUUAGACACAAGUACACACAUUAGUAAAAUUCUAACAAUAUCAAGACCAAAUUAGUUUUUUUCUAUAUACUGCGUUACAAAAUAUUAUAUAACCUAGAGAGGUUUCAUGUUCAGCUAUGGAGUCUUCGGCACCUUUAUAGAAAAAAGCCCAUUCGUUGGAACCAAAAACAAGUUUCUGUAUAGAAUCGACGUACUAUGCGGCUACUGUGCUCAACAUAUAAUCUGGUAUGCUUAGCCUCAGUAACCAACUCCAUGUCGCUUUAAAUAUUGCUGUGUUUCAUGGGCACGUUAAUAUAGACAUGAUGAAAUCGUUUUGAAGCGAUUAGUGGCAUCCUUGUUUCCUUGAGGAUUAGUAACAAUGCUACGGUAAAAUAUCUAUUUAGUUUACGAUUUUAGUAUUUUUUUUGGUUACCUUUAAAUGUGUAUUUGUAUUGUGUAGAUAAAUAGAAGAAAGCCAAAUUACUGGGUACUCGGGUGUUAAGGAUUAUAAUAUACGGUACUGGAGAUAAUGCUAAAAGUUCCACUAAAGGUUCCGCUUUCUAACGAUAAUGUUAAAAGAAGUCUGUUAAAAUAAUCUAUGCCAGGUCUAAGCACAGGGAGGGCUCUCACCAUGCGAAUUAUCUAUGACGUACACAUUUUCUGAAUUAUUAUAUUAUAGGUAAGUUAUUGUCAUGAAGAAAUAGAACAUCGGAACGAUAU
Molecule: long non-coding RNA, 4519 nt
Filed under: Varroa destructor (honeybee mite)
Lineage: Eukaryota; Metazoa; Arthropoda; Arachnida; Mesostigmata; Varroidae
Description: uncharacterized LOC111252593, transcript variant X3
Source: RNAcentral